UACGGAGGAUGCAAGCGUUGUCCGGAUUUAUUGGGUUUAAAGGGUGCGUAGGCGGCCUUUUAAGUUUGUGGUGAAAACGUUCGGCUUAACCGAAGACCCGCCAUUGAUACUGAUAGGCUUGAGUGCGACAGAGGGUGUUGGAAUGUGUGGUGUAGCGGUGAAAUGCUUAGAUAUCACGCAGAACACCAAUUGCGAAGGCAGAUGCCUAUGUCGUAACUGACGCUGAGGCGCGAAAGCGUGGGGAGCAAACAGG
Molecule: ribosomal RNA, 253 nt
Filed under: uncultured bacterium
Lineage: Bacteria
Description: partial 16S ribosomal RNA
Rfam family: Bacterial small subunit ribosomal RNA
Source: RNAcentral